UUUUUUUUUCGUUUUUUC
RNAcentral lists this small RNA (18 nucleotides) under Arabidopsis thaliana (thale cress). RNAcentral's name for it is "ATSL002600". Lineage: Eukaryota; Viridiplantae; Streptophyta; Magnoliopsida; Brassicales; Brassicaceae. The record is from RNAcentral.